RNAcentral lists this ribosomal RNA (640 nucleotides) under Antarctic fungal sp. GI902. RNAcentral's name for it is "eukaryotic LSU rRNA". The stretch from base 208 to 361 matches the Rfam family "5.8S ribosomal RNA". The record is from RNAcentral. Lineage: Eukaryota; Fungi. RNAcentral also lists the same sequence under 6 other names.
GGAAGUAAAAGUCGUAACAAGGUUUCCGUAGGUGAACCUGCGGAAGGAUCAUUAGUGAAUAUAGGACGUCCAACUUAACUUGGAGUCCGAACUCUCACUUUCUAACCCUGUGCAUUUGUUUGGGAUAGUAACUCUCGCAAGAGGGCGAACUCCUAUUCACUUAUAAACACAAAGUCUAUGAAUGUAUUAAAUUUUAUAACAAAAUAAAACUUUCAACAACGGAUCUCUUGGCUCUCGCAUCGAUGAAGAACGCAGCGAAAUGCGAUAAGUAAUGUGAAUUGCAGAAUUCAGUGAAUCAUCGAAUCUUUGAACGCACCUUGCGCUCCAUGGUAUUCCGUGGAGCAUGCCUGUUUGAGUGUCAUGAAUACUUCAACCCUCCUCUUUCUUAAUGAUUGAAGAGGUGUUUGGUUUCUGAGCGCUGCUGGCCUUUAGGGUCUAGCUCGUUCGUAAUGCAUUAGCAUCCGCAAUCGAACUUCGGAUUGACUUGGCGUAAUAGACUAUUCGCUGAGGAAUUCUAGUCUUCGGACUAGAGCCGGGUUGGGUUAAAGGAAGCUUCUAAUCAGAAUGUCUACAUUUUAAGAUUAGAUCUCAAAUCAGGUAGGACUACCCGCUGAACUUAAGCAUAUCAAUAAGCGGAGGA